Molecule: ribosomal RNA, 371 nt
Filed under: Euscorpiops orioni
Lineage: Eukaryota; Metazoa; Arthropoda; Arachnida; Scorpiones; Euscorpiidae
Description: partial large subunit ribosomal RNA
Source: RNAcentral
AAUCAUUAGUCUUUUAAUUUAAGACUGGAAUGAAUGGUUUAACUAAUUAAUUUUGUCUCAUUUUAAUAUUUUGAAUUUUAUAUUUUGGUAAAAAAGCUAAAAUUUUUUUUAAAGACGAGAAGACCCUAUCAAGCUUUAUAAUUAAUUUUUACACUCAAAAUAAAAUUAAAAUUAUUUUACUGGGGCAGUAGACGAAAAUUUUUCGUUUUAUCAUUUUGAUUAAUUUAUCUUGAAAAAUCAGAAAAUUUUUAAAAAAUAAUAAGUUACUGUAGGGAUAACAGCAUAAUUUUUUUCAAGAGAUCUCAUCAUCAAAAAAGUUUGUGACCUCGAUGUUGGAUUAAGAUUCCUAAUUACGCAAUAGUAAAAUAAGG